Molecule: ribosomal RNA, 424 nt
Filed under: uncultured Lachnospiraceae bacterium
Lineage: Bacteria; Bacillati; Bacillota; Clostridia; Lachnospirales; Lachnospiraceae
Description: bacterial SSU rRNA
Rfam family: Bacterial small subunit ribosomal RNA
Source: RNAcentral
GGGGGAAUAUUGCACAAUGGGGGAAACCCUGAUGCAGCGACGCCGCGUGAGCGAAGAAGUAUUUCGGUAUGUAAAGCUCUAUCAGCGGGGAAGAAAAAAUGACGGUACCUGACUAAGAAGCCCCGGCUAACUACGUGCCAGCAGCCGCGGUAAUACGUAGGGGGCAAGCGUUAUCCGGAUUUACUGGGUGUAAAGGGAGCGCAGGCGGUGCGGCAAGUCUGAUGUGAAAGCCCGGGGCUCAACCCCGGGACUGCAUUGGAAACUGUCGUACUUGAGUAUCGGAGAGGUAAGUGGAAUUCCUAGUGUAGCGGUGAAAUGCGUAGAUAUUAGGAGGAACACCAGUGGCGAAGGCGGCUUACUGGACGAUAACUGACGCUGAGGCUCGAAAGCGUGGGGAGCAAACAGGAUUAGAUACCCUGGUAGU